RNAcentral lists this ribosomal RNA (638 nucleotides) under uncultured bacterium. RNAcentral describes it as "bacterial SSU rRNA". It matches the Rfam family "Bacterial small subunit ribosomal RNA", at positions 56 to 692 of the family's 1533-position model. The record is from RNAcentral.
UGCAAGUCUACGAGAAAAGGGUAGCAAUAUCCUGAGUAAAGUGGCGCACGGGUGAGUAACACGUAGGCAAUCUGCCUUUAGGACGGGAACAACCCCGAGAAAUCGAGGCUAAUACCCGAUAAUGCAGCGGCACCGCAUGGUGACAGUUGUUAAAUGCCCGCAAGGGCGCCUAGAGAUGAGCCUGCGCCCCAUUAGGUAGUUGGUGAGGUAACGGCCCACCAAGCCUACGAUGGGUAGCUGAUCUGAGAGGAUGAUCAGCCACACUGGAACUGAGACACGGUCCAGACUCCUACGGGAGGCAGCAGUGAGGAAUAUUGCGCAAUGGCCGAAAGGCUGACGCAGCGACGCCGCGUGAAGGAUGAAGUCCGUUAGGAUGUAAACUUCUUUUGCAGGGGAUGAAUGUCCCGCUCAGCGGGAUUGACCGUACCCUGCGAAUAAGGAUCGGCUAACUACGUGCCAGCAGCCGCGGUAAUACGUAGGAUCCGAGCGUUGUCCGGAAUUACUGGGUGUAAAGGGCGUGUAGGUGGGUUCCUAAGUCGGUGGUGAAAUCUUGCAGCUCAACUGCAAAACUGCCAUUGAUACUGGGGAUCUUGAGUGCGGCAAGGAGAUGGAGUUCAUGGUGUACGGUGAAAUGUGUA